RNAcentral lists this long non-coding RNA (302 nucleotides) under Androctonus crassicauda. The record is from RNAcentral. Lineage: Eukaryota; Metazoa; Arthropoda; Arachnida; Scorpiones; Buthidae.
UAUUCCAUUUGAAUAUAAGGAAAAGGCAAUUGCUCUGGCAGAAAUGCAUCCAAAAUGGAGUAUUAAAACUCUGCAAAGGAAAGGCUGCAGCUGUUUAAAAAAUAAGAAAAUGCUGCAUGUGUGGAAAGAAGACAUGAUGCGAGGCAGAACAGUGAUAGAUAAAUGGAACUACAUCGAAACGCAGACCUUUCAAAACUUCCAAGAAGCUAGAGAGUGUCUUGAGCAGAUACAAUUUUAUAAAAUAUGCAUAUUACAGAAUUAGAGAUUUAUCGAAUAUACAUUAGCAUUUGUUUUCAGGUCAC